CUCUGUGACUCCUACGGGAGGCAGCAGUGGGGAAUAUUGCACAAUGGCGCAAGCCUGAUGCAGCAACGCCGCGUGAGCGAUGAAGGCCUUCGGGUCGUAAAGCUCUGUCCUCAAGGAAGAAUAAAUGACGGUACUUGAGGAGGAAGCCCCCGGCUAACUACGUGCCAGCAGCCGCGGUAAUACGGUAGGGGCAAGCGUUAUCCGGAAUCACUGGGCGUAAAGGGGUGCGUAGGCGGUUUUCAAGUCAGAAGUGAAAGGCUAUGGCUCAACCAUAGUAAGCUUUUGAAACUGUUAAACUUGAGUGCAGGAGAGGAAAGUGGAAUUCCUAGUGUAGAGGUGAAAUUCGUAGAUAUUAGGAGGAACACCAGUGGCGAAGGCGACUUUCUGGACUGUAACUGACGCUGAGGCACGAAAGCGUGGGGAGCGAACAGGAUUAGAUACCCUGGUAG
This 449-nucleotide ribosomal RNA is filed under the name uncultured bacterium. Its description in RNAcentral is "bacterial SSU rRNA". It matches the Rfam family "Bacterial small subunit ribosomal RNA", at positions 328 to 793 of the family's 1533-position model. The record is from RNAcentral.